UGUAUCUGUGAUGACCACUUGGCUCCCUCACCAGAAAUCAAAUGAAGAAAAAUGCCAGAAUUGUUACCCAAGAAGAGUCUGAGAUGCA
This is a small nucleolar RNA of Stegostoma tigrinum, 88 nucleotides long. RefSeq annotates it as small nucleolar RNA SNORD100. The record is from RefSeq and is a predicted model, not a curated record. NCBI's taxonomy places the organism in Eukaryota, Metazoa, Chordata, Chondrichthyes, Orectolobiformes, Stegostomatidae. The transcript has a single exon.